AGAGUUUGAUUAUGGCUCAGGACGAACGCUGGCGGCGUGCUUAACACAUGCAAGUCGAGCGGUAAGGCCCUUCGGGGUACACGAGCGGCGAACGGGUGAGUAACACGUGAGCAACCUGCCCCUGACUCUGGGAUAAGCCCGGGAAACCGGGUCUAAUACCGGAUACGACACGCCUCCGCAUGGGUGGUGUGUGGAAAGUUUUUUCGGUUGGGGAUGGGCUCGCGGCCUAUCAGCUUGUUGGUGGGGUGAUGGCCUACCAAGGCGGUGACGGGUAGCCGGCCUGAGAGGGCGACCGGCCACACUGGGACUGAGACACGGCCCGGACUCCUGCGGGAGGCAGCAGUGGGGAAUCUUGCGCAAUGGGCGGGAGCCUGACGCAGCGACGCCGCGUGGGGGAUGACGGCCUUCGGGUUGUAAACCUCUUUUACCACUGAAGCAGGCCAGGGUUUUUGCUCUGGUUGACGGUAGGUGGGGAAUAAGGACCGGCUAACUACGUGCCAGCAGCCGCGGUAAUACGUAGGGUCCGAGCGUUGUCCGGAUUUAUUGGGCGUAAAGAGCUCGUAGGCGGCGUGUCGCGUCUGCUGUGAAAGCCCGGGGCUUAACUCCGGGUGUGCAGUGGAUACGGGCAUGCUUGAGGUAGGUAGGGGAGACUGGAAUUCCUGGUGUAGCGGUGAAAUGCGCAGAUAUCAGGAGGAACACCGGUGGCGAAGGC
Molecule: ribosomal RNA, 712 nt
Filed under: uncultured Nocardiopsis sp.
Lineage: Bacteria; Bacillati; Actinomycetota; Actinomycetes; Streptosporangiales; Nocardiopsidaceae
Description: bacterial SSU rRNA
Rfam family: Bacterial small subunit ribosomal RNA
Source: RNAcentral